CUCUAGCUUCUCUCUUCGAAA
This 21-nucleotide unclassified non-coding RNA is filed under the name Mus musculus (house mouse). RNAcentral's name for it is "oocyte_clustered_small_RNA39". Lineage: Eukaryota; Metazoa; Chordata; Mammalia; Rodentia; Muridae. The record is from RNAcentral.